This 137-nucleotide ribosomal RNA is filed under the name uncultured eukaryote. Its description in RNAcentral is "partial 18S ribosomal RNA". It matches the Rfam family "Eukaryotic small subunit ribosomal RNA", at positions 1299 to 1458 of the family's 1831-position model. The record is from RNAcentral.
UGGUGGAGUGAUUUGUCUGUUUAAUUGCGAUAACGAACGAGACCUUAACCUGCUAAAUAGCCAGGCUAGCUUUGGCUGGUCGCCGGCUUCUUAGAGGGACUAUCGGCUCAAGCCGAUGGAAGUUUGAGGCAAUAACA